This 492-nucleotide ribosomal RNA is filed under the name uncultured bacterium. RNAcentral describes it as "partial 16S ribosomal RNA". It matches the Rfam family "Bacterial small subunit ribosomal RNA", at positions 29 to 507 of the family's 1533-position model. The record is from RNAcentral.
AGUGAACGCUGGCGAUAGGCCUAACACAUGCAAGUCGAACGGCAGCACAGUAAGAGCUUGCUCUUACGGGUGGCGAGUGGCGGACGGGUGAGGAAUACAUCGGAAUCUACUUUUUCGUGGGGGAUAACGUAGGGAAACUUACGCUAAUACCGCAUACGACCUACGGGUGAAAGCAGGGGAUCUUCGGACCUUGCGCGAUUGAAUGAGCCGAUGUCGGAUUAGCUAGUUGGCGGGGUAAAGGCCCACCAAGGCGACGAUCCGUAGCUGGUCUGAGAGGAUGAUCAGCCACACUGGAACUGAGACACGGUCCAGACUCCUACGGGAGGCAGCAGUGGGGAAUAUUGGACAAAGGGCGCAAGCCUGAUCCAGCCAUACCGCGUGGGUGAAGAAGGCCUUCGGGUUGUAAAGCCCUUUUGUUGGGAAAGAAAAGCAGCAGGUUAAUACCCCGCUGUUCUGACGGUACCCAAAGAAUAAGCACCGGCUAACUUCGUG